GUCAGUUCUGGGUCCUGGUCUCCUGCCUCUGAACCUGCCGGGAACCUGUGGGCGCCGGCGCCUGUCUCCACUCACGUGACGUGGGACUCAGUGACCCCUGAAGGCUUGGGGGACAUCUGCAUUCUGGAAAGAAACCAAUGUGGGAGAGAAAAUGAAAGGACGACAACUUGUAAAAUGCUAGGCUGAUGAAUAACUCUCAGUAGGGCUCUGGAGUAGUAAGUUCUGACAUUUAUUUUCCCAAGUAA
This 245-nucleotide long non-coding RNA is filed under the name Lynx canadensis (Canada lynx). Its description in RNAcentral is "lncRNA (ENSLCNG00005018650.1)". The record is from RNAcentral. Lineage: Eukaryota; Metazoa; Chordata; Mammalia; Carnivora; Felidae.